UACAGAGGGUGCAAGCGUUGUUCGGAAUUAUUGGGCGUAAAGGGUGCGUAGGCGGUGCGGUAAGUCUGUAGUGAAAUCUCUGGGCUCAACUCAGAGUCUGCUAUAGAAACUGCCGUGCUCGAGUAUGGGAGAGGUGAGUGGAAUUCCCGGUGUAGAGGUGAAAUUCGUAGAUAUUGGGAAGAACACCGGUGGCGAAGGCGGCGACCUGGUCCGAUACUG
RNAcentral lists this ribosomal RNA (219 nucleotides) under uncultured prokaryote. RNAcentral's name for it is "partial 16S ribosomal RNA". It matches the Rfam family "Bacterial small subunit ribosomal RNA", at positions 524 to 742 of the family's 1533-position model. The record is from RNAcentral.